RNAcentral lists this long non-coding RNA (332 nucleotides) under Triticum aestivum (bread wheat). RNAcentral's name for it is "long non-coding RNA (TAES_LNC008037)". The record is from RNAcentral. Lineage: Eukaryota; Viridiplantae; Streptophyta; Magnoliopsida; Poales; Poaceae.
UUCAGGUAUGAUUCUCCAUGGUCAUGCUUCUCAUGUUCACCUGGAAGUUUAUUGAUGGGAGGGAAGCCACUUCUGCUUUGAUGAUUUCUUGGAAGUUCAGGUUAAAACACUUUCGCUCUUAAAGUCUGUUUAUCAAUUCUUUGGAUAACCUAUUCAAUGAUUGGUCUUGAUUUUCAUACAGCUAGGUGAAUUUACAAUACAAGUCAGAUUAUUUGCGAGAGAAUUUCAUUCCCUAGAAUCAUUGUCAUUCUUGUUGCCUACAAGGUACUUGAAGAAAAUGCCCGAGACAUAUUUUAAGGAGUAUAACUCAGCACUAAGGCUAUUAUUACAAC